GUGAGAGGAGUAGAGUGAAUCAAGAACGAAGUAUAAGGGAUCAAAAAUGAGAGCCAGACUUGGUGCUGCCAAGUUCUCGACUGAUGGCCUUGGUUGAGAUUCUCAAAGCUACAAGUUGGAAGGAUGGACUGGGGGAGACAAGAGGUCUCUGGCAGGGCGGUUGAGGACUAGACCGCCUCCCUUUGGACAGGAGCAAGGCCUCAGAGGUAGGCGGACGGUGCUGUCAGAGGCUAAGGUCUCAAUGUGAAGUCAGAGUUGAGAGCUGGCAGGCUUGGGUCUGUAACCGGUGAGCAUACUAGGAGCUGCAAAGACCAAGUAUGAGUACUGGUGAGCCCAAGUCUGCCUGCUUUCGUGUGUGUCCUUCCAAGAGCGACAGGCUUAUAGGGGCUGCUCUGACAUACUGUC
RNAcentral lists this unclassified non-coding RNA (405 nucleotides) under Trichosporon asahii. Lineage: Eukaryota; Fungi; Basidiomycota; Tremellomycetes; Trichosporonales; Trichosporonaceae. The record is from RNAcentral.